RNAcentral lists this ribosomal RNA (517 nucleotides) under uncultured bacterium. RNAcentral describes it as "bacterial SSU rRNA". It matches the Rfam family "Bacterial small subunit ribosomal RNA", at positions 36 to 559 of the family's 1533-position model. The record is from RNAcentral.
CUGGCGGCAGGCCUAACACAUGCAAGUCGAACGGAACCUUCGGGUUUAGUGGCGAACGGGUGAGUAAUGCCUAGGAAUCUGCCUAUUAGUGGGGGAUAACGAAUCGAAAGGUUCGCUAAUACCGCAUACGUCCUACGGGAGAAAGAGGGGGAUCUUUUGGACCUCUUGCUAAUAGAUGAGCCUAGGUCGGAUUAGCUAGUUGGUGGGGUAAAGGCUCACCAAGGCGACGAUCUGUAGCUGGUCUGAGAGGAUGGCCAGCCACACUGGAACUGAGACACGGUCCAGACUCCUACGGGAGGCAGCAGUGGGGAAUAUUGGACAAUGGGCGCAAGCCUGAUCCAGCCAUGCCGCGUGUGUGAAGAAGGCCCUCGGGUUGUAAAGCACUUUAAGCGAGGAGGAAGGUCAUCAUACUAAUAUUAUGAUGAAUUGACGUUACUCGCAGAAUAAGCACCGGCUAACUCUGUGCCAGCAGCCGCGGUAAUACAGAGGGUGCAAGCGUUAAUCGGAAUUACUGGGC